This is a non-coding RNA of Pseudonaja textilis, 1607 nucleotides long. The record is from RefSeq and is a predicted model, not a curated record. NCBI's taxonomy places the organism in Eukaryota, Metazoa, Chordata, Lepidosauria, Squamata, Elapidae.
CUAUAUUGAUGUACGAUGUACAAGAAGAAAAAGAAUAAGGAUGGAAUCAGAAAAUAUAUUUUAUUUCUCCUGUGUGCUAUCAGUAUUCUUGACAAGAGUUGUGGAAGGUAUUCAAAAGGAAUGGAUGCUGGGAAUUGAGAGGACCAUGAGCAAAGCAUUUGAGAUGAUAGGUAGGUAGAGUGGGAGGGAGGGAGGGAGAAAGGUAGAGAAGGAGAAAGGGACAGAAAAGCAAAUUCCAAACAUCUAAUUAUUUUGGAAAAAAGUUCAAUUCUUUCUGAUUUUCUUCAGGAAAAAAACUUCUAAACUAAAGAGGCACAUUCCCCCUUGCCCAUGUUUCAUUGAACUGAACAACAAACUCUAUAUACAUCUCAAAAUUCAGAUGAUGGCUAAUGAACUCUAGACCAGAACUUCUAUUGUCUCACAAUCAUUCCAUCCCACUUUUCAAUUGCACCAAGAUAUCAAAGAAGGACUCCAAAUACUUUUUCCAUAGCCAUCCACGUGAUCCUCCUGGGCAAGCAUUAUAUGCCAACUGAAUAUCUCUUUUCAAAGCCUUGGGAAGAGGCUAUUACCGGUUUUGCCAUCUGCCGCCUUUCAAACUAAUGCACUAUGUGAAAUUAAACACAGAGCUAAUACUUUGUUGAAGACCCAACAAUGACUUUUGGUUCUAGAAACUAGAAAUGAGAAUUAAAAAAUAAGAAAUGAGAAUAAACCAAGAGAGGCAGUCAGAACCCUUGAAUUUACACUUCAAAUGUAAGCUGAAUUUUCUUAAGCAAAUGUAUGCCCAUUUCUUAUAGCAGUUUCGGUUAUCCUAGGUAGAGGUUCCUAUACUUUGAUGAAGGUUAGAACAAGUUAAUUGGCUACAGGGAUCUUUGGCAAAGCUCAGACCUACUUCCCAUGCAACAUGGAUGAUUUUCGUGAAUAUCAUCACUAUUACUUGCAGAAAGAUCCAUACCAGUUUAAGUUAAGGUACCACUUCUCCAAAUUUGACAACAAAUUAUCUUCUGAAAAUUUCUCAACAACACAACAGCUGUAGCUAAGUUCCCUUAUGCCUGUAACUGAUUCAAAAUAACUAAUUCAUACAGCAAAAGGAAACCUCAUGAGCUAUUUCCACUGAAAAGAAGGGAAUACUUUGCUCUUAAGAGAUAGACUUCCAAUUUACCUAUAGUAUGUUCUUAAAAAUAAUUGUAUAUUUUACUUUAAGCCAUCCUUCUUCCCAUCACAUUCAGCAAUAUUUUUUAAAAAGCUGCAGCUUGCUCAGAUUUCAUAUUCUCUUGGUUUAUAAACCUUCUGUCUGCAAUUCAGUCAUGCUUUCAGAAUUAUCUUUAUUUCAAGAUUUGAAACUAUCUCUUAUCUAUCAAUAAACCAAAAAUGGGAAGCAAUAAAGCUAACACAUCCAAAAGCUUUAAAGAGAUGCAGAGCAGGGUACAAGCGUUUUCAAGAAUUGACAAACCCACAGAUUAGGAUUGGAAGUAUGGUCCUUUGGGAGAAUACAGGUAAGUUCUUGACUUACGACCACAAUUGGGCCCAACAUGACUGUUGCUAAGUGGGACAGUUGUUAAAGUGAGUUUUGCUGUAUUUACAAUCGUUUCUGGCCACAAUUGUUAAGU